AGGGUGUAAACGCUGCAGACUUGGUGUUGGAAGUCCUUUGGGGCAUUCAGUGCCGGAGAGAGGUUGUUAAGUCUGCUACUUGGGAGUACGUCCGCAAGGAUGAAACUUAAAGGAAUUGGCGGGGAGCACCGCAACGGGAGGAGCGUGCGGUUUAAUUGGAUUCAACACCGUAAACUCACCAGGGAAGACUGUUACAUGAAGGCCGAGAUGAAGGCUCUGCUAGAUUUUCAGAGAGGUGGUGCAUGGCGUCAGUGA
Molecule: ribosomal RNA, 255 nt
Filed under: uncultured archaeon
Lineage: Archaea
Description: partial 16S ribosomal RNA
Rfam family: Archaeal small subunit ribosomal RNA
Source: RNAcentral